Molecule: RNA transcript, 5740 nt
Organism: Scophthalmus maximus (turbot)
Lineage: Eukaryota; Metazoa; Chordata; Actinopteri; Pleuronectiformes; Scophthalmidae
Gene: eefsec
Gene name: eukaryotic elongation factor, selenocysteine-tRNA-specific
Exons: 12
Source: RefSeq, a predicted model, not a curated record
UAGUGGAAACUACUAGAAAACCUGAUGGUGAGUUGAUAGGACUCGCGAGUGAAUGCAGAAUUAAGAGACAGCUAUUUUUCAUCACAAUAUUUUUACAUUUUGUCGUCAAGUUUUAAUCAAAGAACCAUUAUGACGGAUACCGAUUCAUCUCGCCCCCUUGAAAUGUUUGUUGACUACUGAAAAAGACCUUUCAGCUUUACCAUGCUGCCCGGGGGAGCGAGCGACUGACAACAGGGAAGUAGUUUGCACCAACUGAUAGAGCCAAAGUAGAGUCGUAUUUACAGUCACACCUUGUAAGCCAGCUAGCUGGUUGCUUGGUGGCUUCAGUUCUGAUUAACGAGUGUCAACGAAGGAAAGUUAGCAGCUAGCAGUGCCGCCUGCCGUCGGAGCUGAGUUCAAGGUCCGACACGCGAGCCCCGUUAACGGCACCAGUCGACGGUUCAAAUGUCUGGUGGACACGUUGGAACCAAAACGUUGAAUUUCAACGUCGGAGUGCUCGGACAUGUCGACAGCGGGAAGACGUCGCUGGCCAGGGCGCUGAGCAGCACCGCCUCCACGGCCGCCUUCGACAAGAACCCGCAGUCCCGUGAGAGGGGCAUCACGCUGGACCUCGGCUUCUCCUCCUUCACGGUGGAUCUACCCGACCAGCUGCGGGGCAGCGCCGGGCCGCAGCGGUACGGCAGCCUGCAGUUCACCCUGGUCGACUGCCCGGGACACGCCUCUCUCAUCCGCACUAUCAUUGGGGGUGCCCAAAUCAUUGACCUGAUGAUGCUGGUGGUGGACGUGGUAAAGGGGGUACAGACUCAGACUGCAGAGUGUCUGCUGAUAGGAGAGCUGACCUGCCCUCGCAUGGUGGUCGUCCUGAACAAGAUUGACCUCCUGCCACCCAACAAGAGACAAGGUGCCAUUGAGAAGAUGACCAAGAGACUGCACAAAACACUGGAGAACACCAGAUUUAAGGAAUGUCCAGUGAUUGCUGUUGCAGCGAAGCCCGGGGGCCCAGAGGCUCCUGACACAGAGGAGACUCAGGGAGUGCCUGAGCUCAUAGAGCUCCUGAAGAGACAGACAUAUCUCCCUCAGAGAGACCCUGCAGGUGACCUGUUGAUGGCUGUGGACCAUUGCUUCUCCAUCCGUGGGCAGGGAACAGUCAUGACCGGCACCAUCCUGCAAGGGUCGCUGGCCAUCAAUGACACGGUGGAAAUCCCAGCACUAAAGGUGAACAAGAAGAUAAAAUCGGUGCAGAUGUUUCGGAAGCCAGUGUCUGGGGCCAUGCAAGGGGAUCGUGUGGGCGUGUGUGUGACACAGUUUGACCCUAAACUGUUAGAGCGGGGUGUGGUGUGCACCCCAGGGUCCCUGCACACACUCUAUGCCGCUGUCGUCUCUGUCAGGAAGAUAGGCUACUUCAAGGGCUCUCUUGCCACCCGUGCCAAGUUCCACAUCACCGUGGGUCAUGAGACAGUCAUGGCGAAGGUUACCUUCUUUGGCCUGCCACCUGUGGCAGCCUCAGAGUCCUCAUCUGAUACGAAACCACCUAUGUCGCUGCCCUGCUCCCUGGAAACACCCUUCACGUUGGACAGGGAGUACUUCUACCAGGAUGAGUAUGUCACGGGUCAGGGAGAGACGAGUUCAGAACCUGACCCAGAGCAAUGGGCCUUGUUGGAGUUUGAGCGACCUGUCACGUGUCCCUCGCUCUGCCUUGUGAUUGGCUCCAAGCUGGACAGAGACAUCCACGCCAAUGCAUGCCGGUUAGCCUUCCAAGGCCGCCUGUUACAGGGGUUUGAAGACAAAAGCUAUGCUGAGACUGCCCUGCCUCACCUGCGCAUCUACAAGACCAAACACAAGGAGGGACAGGUGGAAAGGGUGUGUGAUGACUACACUCUGAUUGGCCGCAACCUGUUCAAGAAGGAGACCAACCUCCAGCUCUUUGUGGGCUUGAAGGUCACACUGUCGACAGGAGAGAGUGGCGUUAUCGAGGGUGGGUUUGGACAGAGCGGGAAGUUCAAGAUCAGAAUCCAAGGGAGGCACUCAGUGGCGGCGAGACGAUGGAGGAGCAGAGACCAUUGGAGGGUGACAUGCUGAAUGGCAAAUACAGUGACUGAUAAAGCAGAAAGAGCAGACCUUUGACACGAGUUGCGAUCCAGACAGCGAGGAGCUUCCAGCACUUUUCUGCAGUUUUGUCUUCUUCGUUUUGAAAAAAUAAGUCCCAGCCAUACAAGUACAGACUGGUGUCACCCAGAUAGAGGGCGAUAACACAGAUGUGAGGGAUGUGGUUGAAGUUACGGAUGACGACGCGUUGCUUUAUCCGCCAGCACGCGACCGGGACUGGUGUGCAGAGCAGACCUUUGAUGCGAGUUGCGAUCCAGACAGCGAGGAGGUGAGCGAUCGCACAGCAACGAUGAAGGGUGAUGAAAAGACGAGGCCUUGUUUACACACAGAUGAGCAACAGAGAAGCGCCAAAACAAACUCAGACCACAACAAGUAAAUCUACCGCCUCUCACAACAAAUCAAAACUGGACUUUUUUCUGUUAAACCAUAACUUGUUAAGCCUUUUAAAGAUUGUGUAUACACACGCACACCACAUGAUUGAGUCACAUCAUUAAUUAAUCGCCAUUUUUUUGUGUUAGUUGCUGAAUCACAAGUCAUUUAUCAAGAAUGUAAAGCAAGACAUUCACCAUCUCAAGAUUCUUGAUUUUAGCAGAUGGAAACCACAUCUUGGUUCACUUAAUUUUCUUCCCUUUGUUAAUCUUUUCUUUCUUCUUCAUCCUAAUGAACCAAAACUGCUUUUAAACACGAAUGUGGUUGCUCUCUUCCUCUCAUCUUCCUCCUUCUCUCAGUGGAAGCGUUCCUCAGCUCUCCCUCCUCCUCUUCUCUUGGAUUGCCUCACGUUUAGGUUACACUUUAUUUGGAUCUCAACUAUCAGUCCGAGCGGUCCCUCGGUGAGUCGCUGCUGCAGGACCUGUCCGCCGGUGGCUCGCUGCUCGUCACUGUCAACUCCGUCCACCGGGACCAAGAGCAACACGUCCAACUGUGGGUGACAGCGCGGGGCGAAGCUUGUCAAGCAGCUCGGGGGCGGAGUCUCCAAUAAAGCUGGGACUCAGCCAAUUGCACGGCACCUCUGCAGACCCUCGGAGCCGCCACCGCCCCAGUACCCCUGCACCAGAACAUCACUGAUCGUCCGUUCUCAACUGCAGCUGGAAUGUGAUGAAUACACACCGACGGCACGAGUGGAUCCAGAUAAUGUUGGUGUUUUCCUCCACUUUUAUUUAGUCUGGCUGCAUCUUUUUUCGACAAUGAGCUGAGAGGGAGCGCGUGCAGCUCCGACCAGCCGCCUGCUUGACGCCGUCUCCUGACGUCAGUGCAACUCAGAGAAGAAAAAAACCGGAACAGAUUCACGACCUGAACUUUUUCUAACACACACACACACACACACACACACACACAGAGAGAGUGGCCUGCAGGAGUGUGAGGUCCCAGCGGAUGAACUUGAGGACACUGCAACUGAUAUUUACACUGUGGUCACAUUAAUAAUCCACUGAACUUGAACUGUGAUUUCGAAGAACAGGCCAACUGCACUGCAUGGCACACUACUGACAAAAGUGGACGAGAGAUUAGAUCAGAUUAGAAACUUGAAUGUCCUCAUUGAGGACAUUCAAGUUUUCGGAGAAACACACGCACACACAUACCAGCAAAUGUUUUGUUUCCUCAUACUGCAGUUGACUGAUCGUCGCCAUAAGGUAGCUACAGUCUAUAUGAACAAACAGCAUGAGACCAUCAGUCUGCCCUGGGGUGUGAAACUGGCUAGUUUGGAGCGUUCAGAAUUGGGAGUGGGUAUUCAACUGGAAAUUAUGUAAAUGCAUUAGUAAAGCAUGCAUCCAAAAAUCGUUUAUUUUAAAUUUACACCAGAAUACUAUAUUUGCCAUAUUUAUCUCAUUGACUAAACAAGGACAUCAUUGAAUCCGCCACACACAUACAGAUUAAUCACCUCAUUUAUUCUUUUGAAUGCAGAUGCUGCACUAUAAGUCCACCUUUGGGAGCAGGUCGUGAAGAGGCAGCAGCGGUUGUACCUCACACACCUGCAGUUUCUCUCCAGGCAGCGUCGAGAGCCAAUCCACCGUGUGCAGGCGGGAGACAGCAGCUCGCACGGGCGGGACAAGUGUUGCAGUAUUAGAGCUCAUCAGCAUGAUAAUGUGCAAAUACACAUGCUUUGAGUGGGAGCCCUUCGAUCUGGCCUGGCGAUAAAACCUUAUCGGCGGCGAACAUCCACUUCCAUUUUAGGAUUUGACAUUAAUUCAAUCCUCUUUUUCUCCCCCUUUCUUUUUCUUUCUUUUUCUUUUAUUUAUUUUUUGUGUGUACUGCCCCCUUUUUCCUCACAGAAGCCACGGAGAAAGAGAGAGGUCGCAGCUCGACUCAGCUCUGAGAAUCUCAUUAUGGGACCACCGCUGCAAAAAGAAGUGGCUUAUAAUAUCAAUGAAAAAUAAAUGUCGCUUGAGUGUAAUACAGCAACAAAAAUGAAAAGUAUAGACGUCUAGUAUUAGAAUGAAAAGCCCAAUUAUUAUAAGUGUUAAUGAAUUAAUAGAUUCGUAUUAUUAUUUGUAUUUGUUUUAUUAGAUAUUUAUUUAGCUGAUUUCUAAACAAUGAUUAUUUCCAGCACGUUACACUGAUGUGCGUUGGGGUUUAUAAGCUUGAAGCAGAGGGAGCGAGAAAUCCAAUGCAGGAUCCUUGGGUCCCGAUGAUUAUACCCAUCCCGGGGUAAUUUUUCACCGGUGCUGGGCUAAUCUUUGUUCUUUGUGAAGAUAAUAAAUUGCCUAAUCGUUAUCAGCGAGCUGCUGGAGGUGUCGCGGAGAAUGGGGCCGCUCGGCCCCGGGAAAAUCGGCUCCAAAGUGCCGCGGAAUAAAUGCCAUUUCUUAUCUCCCUCUGCCAGAUUAUCGCCGCCUUUUCAAACCCGCACAACAAAUACAUCUAAUGCAGGGGAUGCAUCAUUUGCUGGACCAGAUCUGUGUGAAUGAUGAUAGAUUGAUAGAUAGAUACGGAGGGGGGGGGGGGGUGUCGGUUAUUAUUUACAAGUUUAAUGUUCUGCAUGUGCAAAGUCUUUAUUCGUCUAUCGACAGUAUUAUGCAGCUCGCUUUUCCAUUAUUUUUUAGGUUAUCUGCAGGAGCCAUCUGAGGUUCCGGUUCUUUGUUGGGAUCUGAUUUCUUUCAUGUUGGAUUUCACUGGAUAAGAGUUAAACAGACUCAGCCGCGUCCACCCAGGGAGAAAGAUAUAUCUGAAUAUAUCUGUUUUCAUGUGUGUUGGACAUUUUUGCGAACCGCAAAUGCGAGCAACGAGCCACGUGUACCGUUAUAAAUCGGCCCCUGUUAGAUUGACUUGAUAAUUAAACCAGGUUUAUUCAUCCAUUCUAAUCUUGUUUUGAAUGCUGUAACACUUUAUAUGGCUGUUGUAUCAAGGUGCAUGAAAACGGUGAAGAUGAGGGGAUUUGGCCAUUGUCCAAAGUGUUAUGAGCGUGCUUGAUAUUUAAUAAAUUCCCUCAAACAGCUACAAACCAAAUCUUUUACACAUUUAUUGUAUUCUCGAAUUUGAAGACAAUUGGGUUGAAAAGAAAAAUACUAAGAUAAACAUACUGUUGAUCGAAAAAAAACCCCCCAAAGAAAGACAUUUUCUCCAGCACAAAAGCUGUAGUCCCAUGUCUCAUGAAGAAUAAGAUCAAAUAAAGCAUGUGUCCUGUAAAGACACAAAGAAUGAA